This 476-nucleotide ribosomal RNA is filed under the name uncultured bacterium. Its description in RNAcentral is "bacterial SSU rRNA". It matches the Rfam family "Bacterial small subunit ribosomal RNA", at positions 29 to 490 of the family's 1533-position model. The record is from RNAcentral.
AUUGAACGCUGGCGGCAUGCCUAACACAUGCAAGUCGAACGGCAGCACAGCAGUAGCAAUACUGUGGGUGGCGAGUGGCGGACGGGUGAGGAAUACGUCGGAAUCUGCCCAGUCGUGGGGGAUAACUAGCCGAAAGGUUAGCUAAUACCGCAUACGACCGAGAGGUGAAAGCGGGGGGACCGCAAGGCCUCGCGCGAUUGGAUGAGCCGACGUCGGAUUAGCUAGUUGGCGGGGUAAAGGCCCACCAAGGCGACGAUCCGUAGCUGGUCUGAGAGGAUGAUCAGCCACACUGGAACUGAGACACGGUCCAGACUCCUACGGGAGGCAGCAGUGGGGAAUAUUGGACAAUGGGCGCAAGCCUGAUCCAGCAAUGCCGCGUGUGUGAAGAAGGCCUUCGGGUUGUAAGGCACUUUAUCUAGGACGAAAGACGUUAGGAGUUAAUAACUCUGACGUGCUGACGGUACCUGAGGAAUAAG